UUAGCAGUUUUGUCCCUUCUUUCUCCCAACCCCAACUGAUCUCCAUAACAUACAAGCUCUGCCCACAGAUUGCAAAUUCCAUAAAUAACAUCAGGUAUGCAAGCAAGGAUUUUCUUUUCCCAUGUUUACUAAGUUAGCAGAGAUUGUAUUACUAAUUAUCUUUUCACCUUUUUUCCCAGUGUAAGAUCUUUGAAGCUGAGGAUGAAGCAUAGCAAGCAACGGUCAGAAAUCUGCACAAAAAUUUUCUGCAGUUAGAAAUUUGUUGCAUCUAAAGGUACUUAAAUUUACUGCUUUAAGCUGCCAAGUAGCUACUGCUGUGUGAUGUAGUUGGUGCCAUGAACCCUAGACAACAUGCCCUAUUUAGUUUGAUUUAACAAGACACAGUUUAGUUAUAUGGUUAGCGGAGGAUUGAUGUCUGAAAUUACUAUGGAGUUGUACUUUUCAUUUGUUGUCUGGGUGUGCUUGGAAGUGACUCCUCAACUUGACACUAAUUUGAACUGUCAACUGUGUUUGGAUAGAUAGACAGUACUGUACCUGAAGAUGGUGAUGGCAUCAAAACCCCACUUUGGAUUGCUUGAUUGUCGUAGGAAUAAUUUCCUGAAUCUAGUCGAAAAUAUCAAACUACAUAUAUCAAGUCCAUAACCAAUUGAAAUCUACAAGCUCACUGCACAUAUGGCCUGAAAUCAAGUCUCUCUCUCUCUCUCCACCUCUCUUAAAUUCAGAAUUUUUUAAAGAAAAAUAUGACCUUUUCAGACCAACCAAACAACAAGGUUUUCUUCAUGUCAGAGCAUUGUCUCAGGCUGAAAUGAACCGUGACAGGAAACAUGAGACUUAUAAUUGAUGUCCUAUAUUAAUUUCUACAUACAAUAAUACUACCAGUGCAAAACAUCAAAUUGCAUUCUAGCCAUCUGAUCAAUGCAAAACUAAGAGAAGGAAUUAAUUAUUUCUUUUAUUUCAGAGAAAAUUAGAAGAGCACAGUUCAUAUUACUACCACGAAGAUGUUCCUAGUCUAAAUUGCUCAAUUAAGCUGGCUAAGGUAAAUACGAUUAUUCAAGUGGUAAUUUUUUGUGUUUGCCUAAUCAAAACCCUUAGGCAUUCCUAAAACAUGGCUGCUAAGGAUAUGAUUUGUUAAACAUAAACAAGCAAUUUAUUGAAAUAUAUUAUUGUGAAUCUAAAAAUCUCAUUAAUGACCGCCGGACUUCCUCUAUCUAGGGCGAGGCCGGGUCCAAGAGAAGGAUGCUAGCCCAAAGCCCAUCAAGCUUUCCUUAAGCAGACCGACCCAGUAUCUCAAGCCCUGAUCCGAACAUGCGGGGCAGGCUAAGCUCAUCAUAAACCCGGGACCAACGAGAAGUAAUCUAGCCCAAUGAUGUGACGUGAAGGAGAAUAGUUGGCCCAGUCACUUCGCAGCCUGUCCGCAUGCGUGCUGGAAAAAUUAAAUGCGGAGAAAUUAAAUGGCCGCCUAACGUAGAGAGGGGUCUGACACACCCGUACGUACGGACCUGAGUGACAGAGACAAGUGGCACUGUAGCAGAUAAACGGUUAGACGUCACUAGCUGACAAAAGGAAAAGGGGAAAAACGUCUUCCUCUUCAUCUAAGCUUACACAACCGGAAAAGGAAUAGGAAGAACGUCUUCCUCUCCAUCUAAGCUUACACAACCACUGUAAAUUCUAUUUUCUGGAUCUUAGAACAUCACCAUCACCCCAUAGACAGACCACCCCCAUAGACAGACAUCCCCCUCUCAUUUCAACUUUGGAUCCUUAACUCAACAUUCCUCAAUUGAUUCUACAAGUACCAAAUUCUACUAAUGUUGUCAUUCUCCUCCAAUCCUUUUUAUUACUCCUCCUCACAACUUGUGGUGCAUUGGAGUUUUGGUGCUAUUGGCGUCAAAAUCUGUGGAGAUUGCCAUCCUCCAAGUAAAUUUACAUAUUGUCCCUCAACUUAAGGCAUCGUAGCAACAUGAUUUUUGAACUUCAAUUUGUAAGAUAAUUUCUUUUUACAUAGUAAAUUGCUUGCCUAUAAUGGUUGAUUUACAGGUUACAAGCUGACAUGGCUUGUCCUCUCUCUCUUCAUCUUCAUCUUCCUCAAUUUCAAUAUUGUUUUCCUCAUCUUCCUCACAAACAACAAAAUAGCAAGCUUGAUUUAUCAAAGUAUAUACCCUAUUCCACCAGCUUCAAAAACUUGUCAUUGUUUCCCGACUUCUUAGCAACUAAAAUCUCAUUGAGGAGAGAGAAGAAAAAAGAAAAGGGACGGCAAGCACAAGAUAUAGAAGUUGAUCAAUUGAUUCUUAUGUUUAUCAAUGAGCAUUGCCUUAGGUAACUUGACCAUUAACCUACCAAAAACCAAAACAAAUGGAAAAAAAUCCAUAAUUCUAUUGGAAAAUCCUCAAAAUAUCAUAAAUAGGAUUCUCAAUCAAAAAGUGAACCAACAAUGCAAAACCACCAUUUGAAGAUAAAAUCCUUGAGAGCAUCAAUUCUCCUACGCAAUAUAUCAUUCAAAUGGGAUAUAUUCGAGGAUCUUGCAUAUUAGAUGUUUAAACCAAAUGAAUGCAUCAAUUCAUUUUGAUCUUUCUAGUUCAAUUUGAUUCUCAAUUUCUCAUACAAGCACCAUAUAAGUGUUCCAAAUUGUUGUAAUAUCAUUUGAAAAAUCCAUUUUAGAGGAAAAAUGCAAAUGAAUUGUUGUAGAAAUUGUAUAUUAGGUCAAUAAAUAUGUGCAAACAUAGUUGAGGAACUCGAUGAAAUUAUAAGGGCAGUACCAUAAGUUCCUACCGGAAUAGCCUCCCCCCCUCCAUCGAUGCGAGUUAGUUUCACAAUAUACAUUCUCUCUAUUAAUUUUAGAUUGGACUUCUCUAUUACAAAUUGUUCACUUUAAUUAGACAUGUCUAUAAAUUAAUCAAAUAUUUUGAAAUUCAAAACAAAAUUAUAUUUGGCUUGUAGAUCCACAUACCCAACAUGGAAAAUUGUUGACUUGAACAAAGGAUUUAUCAACAGGCUUGACAUGAACCAACUCAAUUAAAUCUUGCUUGCAAGAUGGGCUGAACUUGGGAUUUAUUUAGUAAUAAGGCUGGGUAUGGUGUGUUAUGGUUAUCAAUUAAUCAACUUUCAUGUACUUGAUAAUAGACUUAUACAUGGAUUUGUCAAGCCACCAGCUUGACUUAAAUUAUCAAGUUUUUGGAUUUCUUUUCCUCUCCUUAAGACUCAACUUGAUCCUAUUGUCUGAAGCUUGCUAAGCGUGGUGUUACAGAUUCACGUUUAAUUAAGGCUUUGACAAACCCAAUCCAGUUUGAUAGAAAGUCAUAUAUAACUUUUAUAAUUUAUGAUGACAAUGAUUUCCACCAUUAAAUUAGAGAUCAUCAAUUUAUCUAAUGAUAGUUAUUGAAUAUUUACCUAAAUGAACCUUAGAGUACUAGAAAUAAAAAAAUAACAAUGAAGUUUUUUAAAAAUUAAAAUAAAAUAAAAUAAAAUAAAACAAAACUACCAUGAUCCUUUCCUAUCUUCCCCUAGGGAAAUAGGAAUAAAGUACUAGUAGCAUGGCUUAUGCCCAUAGGAAUACUUUGGAACAUUAUUUGAACCACUUUUUUUGCAUAUAAUAUUGGUAAAUUUUCAAUACUUUGUCUAAUUCACAUAUCUACAGAAUAACUACGCCAUGCAAUGCAUCAAAUAAGCACAAAGGGAGAACGGAACAAAGAAAACAAUAUUCACAAUACUCGCAUCUAGAUAAGAAAUCAUGCCAAUUUGCUUUGAUCUCCAAAAGAGUUGUAUCGCUUCAGCAAUGUUGUGCAUUUCAUACUUAAGAAGCAUAUGCCAUAGGAUGAUCUUAUUAAUUCAUAAAGUAACAUUUAAGUAGUUGUUGAAGUGCUAGAAACCUUAGAUAUCACUAUCAUCCUUGAACAACAAGAAACCAAGUGAAGAGCAUUAUUAAAGCAAACUAAUUCAUAAGGUGUUCAAUGGUUAUUAAUUAAUCAACUAUGAUGCACAUGAUAAUAGAUUUAUCCAAUGCAUUUGGAGACCCCAAUUGAUUUAAUUGAGGCUUGCUCCCAUACUAGCAAAACUCAUGCCUUAAACAACUUGUAUUGAUAGUAACAAAACAAAUUAGUAAAAGAAUAAAGAUAUUCUUUCAUAGAAAUUAGUGCAUAAAAUAGGACAUAGGUAGAUACUAAAUAAGAAUGUUUAGUUUAAUAUCUCCCAUAAACAACAUGAAACCAACCUUGAUUCUUGAAGCAAGCCUUGCAUCCCUUGUCAAACAAGGGACUAUUGAAAACUCCAUGGACUUGAAUUGAAGUUUUUUUUUAUUUUUUUUAUUAGAAGUCAAAAUUUCAUGUGGAUUGUUGAUUAAUUGUUAAAAGUCAAAAUUUCAUGUGGAGAAGUAUUGUCAAAGCCAUCCACUUGCUGCUCAAACCACCAAGUACAUUGACUGAAUUAGAUGAGGAAGCAAUUAAUGCUGCUAUAAUUUCUUCAUAAACAACUCCAAACAUUACUAUAAUACAACCGGUUUUAUUAAGAUAGAGGCCAAUGAUAAAAGAAUUAAGGUAUAUCCUCCAUUAAACAAAGAGACAAAAUGGAAGGAAAAUCCAUGAAAUAAAUAAUAAAAGAGAGAGUUGUUUAUUAAUGCAAAACAAAAGAUGUGUUCUUGAAGUAGUUUCUGACCUGCUCGAUUAGAUAUUUCUUGUGGGAAUCUUUCGCAAUGAGCUAACUUUUCCUCAAUCAAAUCCCACCUGCAAAAGCUCAAAACACAGGAGCAAAAAUAGAAAAGAAAAAGUUGCAGCUAACUUCCCAUAUGAAGAAAUAAACAUUCCUUGUUUUACUUAAUCUAUGGAGUCCCCAACUACUUUGAACAAAAAAUACAGAAAAUCAAGAAAAGAAAAAUAGAAUCUUUUCAGAACCCACUUGAGCUAAUGUGAAAGUGAAUAGAUAAUGAAGAAUGAUCAGAGCAAAAAGAAGCCAAACAAGUAAAAGCAACCCUAUUUAGAUAGGAUAGGGUUUUUGAAACCCCACAAAAGGGGGAAAUCAUUAUGAAACCAGUAGAUUCAGGUGAAUACAAAAGUCCAAAAUCAGAAGAAAAAAUCUCGAACUUGGUACAUGACUGAUGACCAUGCGCAUGAAUAAAGAAAAAGAGAAUUCAAGUGCAGAGAAAUAUGAAAAUGGAGAGAAGGUUUUGCAAGUGAGGACCAUGCUACAAACUUAGAUGACGUGAAUUCCCUCGUGCUAUUACAUUAUAAAUUGCCGCUAAAUCUGCACAGUAAUCACGCCUACCUCUUAAUCUAAAAAUCAUCAAAAGCCACGCUUUUCAAGCUAUUAAAAUAUAUAAUUUAAUGCUUAAAAAACUUAAAUAAAUUCAAACCAAGACAAAUACAUACAAUCUGAUAUACCCUUCUGGUAUUAAUUAAUGGGGUGACACUUGGCAUCGUUUUUUCUCUGUUUGCUCAACCGUCAUCUUCAUCUUCAUCUUCGAAAGAGAAACAAAAAGAAAUAAGGGAGAGGUAUCAAUCUGGAACAAAACAGACCAGGAAUUUAGGUGACCUGAGAGAGAUCCAAUUCCGGCGGCUGGAAGCUGACAGAAAGAGAAGUGAGCACGCAAAAGCAAGGGUAUAGAUUUAUACAAAUGCCUCUGUGUGCUCACUCUCUUCUGUCAAUUUCUAUGUCCCAGAAGAUAAAGAGGAGACCAAAGAAGAAAGUAAAGACAAGCUAAGCUACCCAGAAAUGGAAAAAAAUAUAUAGAAAAGAAAGGAAAAAAAGAGAAGCAUAAAAUGUACAAAAGAAUGGAGUCAGAUCUGAGAAUAUAGUGAGACCCAUUUAAGGAAAGUUACCAAAAAUCCACAAAUCACACUGCUUUAUCUACAAGAAUGAAACGGCUUUAAUGACAGAUUUAGGGUUUUGUUUGGGACCAAGAAAAGAAACUGUAGCCACCAUAAAGUAAAGAACCCCUUCUCUCUUUCUCGACUCUCGAAAAACCCUUGUGUGUUUCUCUCUCAUGCAAGACGUACAGGUGUCGGUAACAAGUAGCAGGUGUCCUCUCCUUAUCUGAAACAAAACCUAACAGCGAUGACUGACGACGCUUAACACUCAGCCAUUGACUAUGAAUAUAAAUAUGAACGGCGGGAUCAUGGGUUGGCUUCCCAAAGAUUGAAAAACCAAAAAAGAAAGAAGAAAACGAGUGCAGAGAAGCAAACGAUAAAAAGAAGAAGAAGAAGAUGAUGAUCAAGAAGAAGAAUCAGUACUCUGUUUUUUUCUUAUCUGAGUGUGUUGAAUAUGUACUCUGUCGGGAUGUGAUUGGUUUGGCGGAGAUAGUUGAGGGUACGUGUUGGUUUCAUUCUGCUGUCACUUCCGAUUGAUCUCUUGCCGUCUGAUUUAGAGUUUUUAUUUUUUAAACUCGUAAUCCCUGCCGUUGGAUUGUGGUGAUUGUGGGAUCAGGACAUUUUUGGUUCCCAAGUGGUCUCUGGUCUUGGGAAUUGGGUCUGAUGCGACUGCGUCUCUCUGGGAAACAAGCCUACUUCUCUUUCGCUCUUCUCCUUUCUUCUACAUCCCGUUUUCUUUUAUAUUACCUGCAUCCGCUGACACGUGGCAUCUCUUUUCUCAUUUAUUAUUAUUAUUAACAUAAUCGUGGAUUAGUUGACUACGUGCACUUCAAAUUGUUCUUUCAAUUAAUACAUUUUUUAAUACACAAAUAUAUAAAAAUAAAAAAGAAAAAGAAAAGAAAUUUAUUUUUAAAGAACAGAAUAUUAUUUAUUAUUUUACUUAUUACUAUUAUUAUAAUAAUAGAGAUGCAGAAAGGGGCAGAAGCAGAGGAUCAUAGCCCUCAAGUUCAAAGGUCCCUUUAAGCCUGCUAAAGGUGGGUGUAUUCAUUACAGUACAGCCUAGUGGGGCGGGGACCGUCUGUACCCUAAUCUCGCUUCUCUAUAUUACAAACAGCUUGAAUUUCCAUUUUAGUAGAGGAAUAAACAAACAGAAAGUUUUAAAGAUUUUAAAUUUAAUUUGUUAAAUUUUUUUUAAAUUUAAAUUAAAUUUGAAUUUUAUUAUUUUAAAUUUAAAUAAAAUAUUAAAAAAUUUAAAUUUAACUUGUUUAAUAAAUAAAUUUAAAUUAAUUAAAUUUUUAUUAAAUUUAAUUUUAAAUAGUUAAGUUUAAAUUAUUUACAUAUAUAAUAAUUUUUACUUUAAAAUUAAUAAAUUUAAAAUUAAAAAAAUUUAAUUAAAUAAAUAUAUUUAUAAAUUAACUCGUAAACUCAUAAAAAUGAGCUUUUAAAUUUUAAUAAUCUAAAUAUUUAAUUCAUGAAAAUAUAUGUAGGAUUUGAGUUUAUAUCUGUUAUAAUAAUAAUAUCAGCUUACUUAAUGUGAUUAUUUACGAGUUUAUUCGUGAGUUUGCUCAUAAACUCAAAAAUGAGCCGAGCUCAUGAGCUGAAUACUACGGAGUUCAAACCUAAAAAUUAAGUUUGAAUUUGACUCGUUUAGAAAUUUUGUCAAACUCGAUCGGGAUUUUAUUGAACCGAAUUUUGAAUAGUUUAUGAAUUAUUUAAUUCAUUUACAUCCCAACUUAUUCAUAUUUUUCAGUUUUAUUAUUUAUUUAUUAAUAUACUAUUAUUUAUUUAAUUGAGUUUGUUAAUUAAUAAAAUUAUUUCAAAAUUGUUGACAUGUUUAUUUAAUAAAAUAUAUACCUUUAAAACCAAAUACAAAUAAAAUCAAUUGAUUUUAUGUGGCAAAUUCUUAAUGAUUUGUUAAAUUUGAUUAUUCUCAUAUUAGCUCCAAUUUUUUUUUAUUCAUCACAAAUUAUGUCACUUUUCUUUUUUGAGGUGAUAAAGCAUUCAUUAACUUCAUAAUAUAAUCCUAUUUAAUAAUGCAUCAAAAAAACAAAAUUUAUUAGUUUUAAAAAUAAUUUAAUAAUUAAGUAAUUUAAGUAGAGAUUAUAUUUAAAAAAAUAAUCUUAUAUUUUCAUUUUAAAAUUUAGGAAAAAUUACUUUUUAGUUCCUGAGAUUUAACGUAAUUAACCCUUAUAUCCCUCUAUUUUGGCGACACAACAUUUAAGUCCCUUACUUUAUUUUUCGUUCAAAUUCAUAGUUUUUCAUCCAUUUAAAGCCGUUUAUUUGGUGAAAGAGUUAUAGGUGAAAAGUGAUAAUUUUUUUCAAAAAUACCCUCCUCUCAAUCUUUCUUCUUUUUUAUAUUCCAUUAUUAUUGAAUAUAUUAAUUAAAUCUUUUUAACAUAUGUGCAAAUAAUUGUAUAAAUAUUUUUAGACAAUUUUUUGAUAUUUCAAAAUAAUUUUAGCGAUUAAGAAUUAUUGCUAAAUAAAAAUAAAAAAAAGAAAUGGAAGGAGUGGUUUUACGGGGAGCAGAGACCACGCCAUUAAAAGGCCUAAAGGCACAUCUAACUUCUCUUUCAUAUCAAUUAAAACCUUGAAAGGUUCCAACUUUAGGAUAUAGGGAAGGGUGGUCAUAUGUCUAAUGGACCACUUCUUCUUCCCAACCCAACCACACAUUCUCCCACCUUUACAUAACUUUGAUAGUUACCCCUCAUUCACUUAUGGAUAAUAUUUUUAAUUUGAUAGAUACCCUCAUUCACUUAUGGAUAAUAUUUUUAAAAAAGGCCACAUAUAUAUUUACACUUAUAAAAUACUAGAUAAUAAGUUCUCAAGAAAUAUUCUUGAGAUUAUUCACUUUUCAACAUAUAACUGUAUUAAGAAAUAGCGAAAUUUAAUUAUAAUCUUAUCGACUACAUGGUUAAAUUAGAUCAUCAGCAUAGUAAUUUAAUUGGUCGACCGAUCUGUUGUCUAUUUCAAGUGGACUAACUAGUCUUCUCAAUAGACUCUUACAUUUACUUGUUUAAUUAAACAUUAUUAAAAGUAAUUUUUUUAUAAUCAAUUCUCUCAAUUAUUAAAUAUUACUGUUUUGACUGAAUUUUAAAAUUGUUAUUAAAUAAAUAUUUAUUUUAUUAAAAAAUUUAUAUUAUUUUCAAAUUUUGAAUAUAUUUCACAAAUUAUUUGAAUCAGCAAGUAAUAUGUGUACAUUCUAAGAUCAAUUUGAAUUGAAGGAGAAGAUUUUUUUCAAAUAUAAAAAAUAUAGAGUGGGUUUUAGUUUUAAAUUUUGUAUAUUAUAUAUUAUUAUUAUUAGGGUAUUGAUUAUUAAUAGUGAAUUAUAUAAUAUUUUAUAAUUCAUGCUAAUUUUUUAUUAAGAUUGUGAAUUUAUUUUAAUAUUAAGAUAUUUAUAUAAAAAUUUAUUAAUAAAAUUUAUUUUUUAAAUUAAGAUUAAACUAUAAAAAUAAAUUAUCUUAUUAGAAAAUAUUUUUUAAUAAAAAUAUUUUACACAGUAAAUAUUUUUUAAAUACAAAUUAUUUUUCAUAAACAAAUGAAACUUAAUUAUUUUUUUUCAAAAAUUUUUGCAAUUUAAUUAAACCUACCUUAUCACUUCUCUUUUGUUAUUUUUCUAAUGAUAGAUUCAUUUAGAAAAAUUAUAGAGAUUUGAAGUAAUUAGACGAGGAGGGUAAUUUCAUCAAAUUCAGGAUUUCUUUAUUAUAUUUUUAAUGAUUUAAUUUAUUUUUUAAUCUCUGCUUGUUUGCAAAAAAUAAUUUCUAUUUAAAAAAUAUUUUUUAUGAACAAUAUUUUUAAAAAAUAUUUUUUAAUGAGUUAACUUAUUUUUUAUUAUUAUUAUAUAUAAUUAAUAUUUAUUUAAUGUCUAUUUUAUUAUCAUAUAUAUAAUUAAAAUAAAUUAUUUUCUGUCUUAUUAGUUAAACAAUAUAAUAAUUAUGAUUGAUUAAGAAGCAAGAAAAUAAUAAAAAAAAAGAAGUAAAUACUUGUUAUUUAAUAAAAUAAAGAUAUUAACUGAUGUAAAAUGACUGAUAUUAACAUUUCUCUCAACAGUAUAAACGAACCGGUAAUGCAGUUAACUCUAAAAUGAUUAGUUUAAAGAUAAUAAAAUUAGGAAAAAGAAAGGAGAGUUGAUGUUACAGUUGGAAGGACAAGAUUCGUUACUGGUUUGUGACCUAUCCCGACACUCCAUGUCAGCAGGAAUCACGACAAGACAACUACUGGAUCGCAGCCCCCAUGUGCGAAUUGUCACUUUACUCCGUGUUCCAUCUACUUAUGAAGUCAUCUUUAAUAACAAUAAGGUUAAUUAACUGAAAAAUCUUAUUUCUUAUUUUAAUAUAAAUAUUUAAAUUUUAAAAUUUUAAUUUAAUCUUUAUAUUUAAAUGUAAUUUUAAUUUAUUUUUAAAAAUUAAAAUGUGAGAUUUCAAAUCUCAUAUUAUAGGUAAUAUUUUACUAUUUCUAAAUAUAAAUUAGUUACAUAUAUAAAUAAUAUUAACUCAUAUUUAUUAGAAUUAAUUAAAAUAUUUAAUUUUAAAAAUAAUAAUAAUUUAAUUAUUAAAUAUGCAAUUUACAUAUUCAAUAAUAAAUAAAUUCUAUUUUCAAUAAUAAUUAUAAAUAUUUUAUAUCAGAUAUAUUAUUUUUAAUUAUUUUAUACAAAUUAUUAUUUUAAAUUAAAAUAUUUAUUAUUUAGUUUAUAAAUAUUAUCAAUGAGUCAAUUUUUACAUUUUUAAAAAUUUAUUAAAAUAUUUUUAUCUAUUUUUUCUAUAAUAAAUCAGUUUUCCAUAUAUUUGUCCCGUUAAAAAUAUAAUAGAAGGCCAAAUUCCAUCUCUUAUUCUCCUCCUUUUUAUUUUUCUUUUUCUUCUUUUACCUUCUAUUUUUUAGGAUGAGAGAUUAUUUUAUUAAUGGAAAGAAACGAUAAGAAUAUUUUAAAAGAUUUAAGAAAAAAUAAAAGACGUUUUAAUAGAUUUAAAAAAAAUAAUAUUUUAAUAUAUUUAUGAAAAUAUAAAAACUGAUUCGUUAAUAAUGACAAUAUCCUGAAACCAAAUAAGGGGUUUUAUUUGAGAAAAUUUGAGUUUAAAAAAUUUUCUCUCAUUAUUCAUCUAUUUUUAAUAAAAGAGACAACUGAAGAUUAUUUUGUCGAUAAAAAGAAAAAAAAAGAAUAUUUUAAUAAAAUUUUGAAAAUAUGAAGACUAACUUAGUAAUAAUGAUAAUAUUUAGAGAUUAAAUAGUAUUUACUAUAAAACUUUUACAAUUAUAUUACAAAAUAAAACCUAUCACUUAUGAAAAUGCAAAUGAUAAAUUUAACAAUUAAAUUACUUAUUUUUAUUUUUAAUUUUAAAAAUUAGUUAAAAUUAAUUAUAUUUAAAUAAAAUAUAAUAUUAUUUAAAAUUAAAAUAUAAAAUAAAGUAAACAUUUGAAAUUCUGUAAUGAUAGUUGUAUAAAAAUAAAAAAAAAAAUAUUCUUAACACAUAUAAUUAUAAAUUCCAAAUUACAGAUUAUAUAGUUUAAAAAAACAUAACAACUACAAUUAAAAUACAGACAAAUGAGAAAAGUUGUUAUAAAUUUUAAUAAUUUUUCACUUAAAUCUUCAUUUUUUUUCUUCUAGUUUUAUAACAUUCAAAUUGAAAUUAAUUAUUAUUAUUAUUAUAUUUUUAUUUUUAUCAAUAAUUUAGAGAUGUCCAUUUCUUACUUAAUCCAUUUCUUCUAAGGUUCUUUUUCUUUGUAUCAUGCACAGGGACGGAUUUAGGCUUUGGAGUAGUAAAGUAGUUUUUUCAUAUAUUUAAAUAAUUAAAAAAAUUAUCAUUAGAUAUCUAAUUUUUAAAAAAUUUAUUAAUUCUUAUAAAUUUAAUUUUUUAUAAAAAAUCCAUUAAAAUAUCUUAAAUAUUUAUUAUUUACUUUAUAAAUCAUUUAGUUUUUAUAAAUUUAAAUAUAUAUAGACUAUUUAGUCUUUGUGAUCAAAAGAUAAAUAAGUUAGAUAACAAUUUAGUUGAUAAAUAUAUAUAAAUUUUCUAAACACUCAAAAUUACUAAGUGGUUAUUUUAAUUUUUUUAUAUACAUUAUUUUUAUUCAUCUCUAUUUAUAUGAUUGAAAUUAUAUAUUUUAAAUUAUUUAAAUAUAAAAAUAAAUUUAAAAAAAAUUAAUUUAAUAGAUAAUUUAUUAUAUUAUUUAAAAAUUGAAAAUCUUACAUGAUAAAAUAAAAAAAUAUUUUUAUAUAUAUAUAGUUUAGACUACUCAUUAUAAAAAUAAAAAUUCAUGUUUUAUAUUAUAUGAGAAAAUUAAUUUAACUUGAAAAAAAGUUCACUGUAUACAAAUUUUUUUUUUGUUAAUUUAUUUAACUAUGAUUUUCAAUUUAACUAUUUUUUUUAAACAAUUUAAAAAAAAUUUGAUAUUUUACUUAAAAAAAUAACAUUGAAUUGAGCUCAAUUUUUAUGACUAAAAUUAAUUUAGGUUAUUAUGAUUAUGUUUUUAUUUUAAUGAAUAAUUUAAAGAUAAUCAUUUCUCUUAUCAAUUUUUUCAAAAUUCACUCUCAUUGUUAUUAUAAUUUAGAAAAGUGUUUGAUUGGAAUUAUAAUUGAGGGAAAAAAGUAUAGAAAAAUUAUUUUUUAAAAAAAAUUAAAAAUAUGUUUUAUUAUUUAUAAUUUUAAAAUUUUAUUAUUGUCUUUACCGAAUAUUUCUUUUAUUUGGAUUCAUAAGCAAGUUAAUAGUAAAACUCCAUUCCUCCAUUUUUAACUGAGUAUUAUUAUUUUUAAUUUAUUUUUUUAAAAAAAAUUAUUUUAUUAUUUAAAAAAAUAUUAUUCAGUCUUAAUAAUAUGAAUUUUUGGUUUGAAUUUUUGUUUAGCUAGUAAUGAUUUUGUCAAGACUGCAAUAAUAAUGAAAGCAAUGAUGUUGAUAUUGAAGAUAAUCAACCCCAGUAAUAGUAAUUAAUAAUAGUUUAUGAGAUCAUAACUAAUAACUAAUAUUAAUAAUAAAAUAAUAAAUAAUAGAGUAAAAUAUUUCAUUAAUCAAUUUUUUUUUAUUUCAAUCUUUCAACCUUUUAGAAAAAUUACAUUGUUCUUCCUCAGUUUAUUGUUUAAAAAAUUAAUUUUAUUAUAACUAGGGACUAUUUAUAUAUAUUAGAAAAAAAAUUACUGUUAGUUCUUGUACUGUAAAGAAAUUCAUUAAUUAAUUAAAAAUAUUAAAAUAUUUUUAAAUUUUUAAAUUUUAUUAAUUAAUUUUUUAUUAAUUUUAACAGUUAAAUAUUAAAAAAAUGACUAAUUAAUAAAUAUUUUUAUAAAUUUGAGAACUCCGUAACUAAUAUUAUAUUAUAAAAAUUAAAUAAUAAAAUAUUUAUUGAUUAAGAUUAAACAACUAUGAAAUUGUGAGAAUUCUAUUAUAUAUUGUAUUUAAUAUUGAUACACUAUUUAUAUGUGUAGAUAGUUACAAAUGAUAACAAUAAAUAAAUUUAUAAGGCUAAGAACGUAUUUUGUGAUUUUUGUCAUACCUCCUCAAUUCAAACAUCCGUAGAAAAAGAUUGAAUUGUCAAAUGAAACAUAAGUAUCCGAUAAUGAGUCUUAGGGAGCGGCUUUGUCAUGAUGUCUGCCGAUUGGUGUUUGGAACAAAUAAAUUUAACCUUAAACUCUUUCUUUUGAACUUUGUUAAGAAUAAAAUGAAAAUUAACUUCUAAGUAUUUGGCCACCAAUAUUAUCACAAUACAUAUUCGAUGUUUGAGCUUAAUGAAAUCCACUGUUACACAAAUAUGUAGCACCAAUAUUAUCAAGUGGCUUUCAUUCCAAGAAAGUAUUAUAACUUUUUAAGAUCUUUCGACAUGAAUUCUUUCUGAAAAGAUUGUUGUAUCAUAUUUGUAUUUGUACUGUCAAGAUGAUAUCAUCAAUGUACACUAACGCAAAGAUUGUAACUUUAUCUUUAGCAUAGUAAAAUAAGGACGAAUCUACUGGUGAAGCCCGAAAACCAUGGGAAAGUAAAGUAGAAAUAGACGAUUGUACCAUUGCCUUGGUGCCCGACGAAGGCCAUAGAGAGAACACUGAAAUCUACAAACAUGAUCAGGUUUCAUUUGGUCUUAAAAGUCUGGUGGUUGUUCCAUAAAGACUUCAUCUUCUCGAAGUCACCAUGCAAGAAUUCAUUUGAAAUAUCUAGUUGUUUAAUCAACCAACCAUGGGAAACAGCCAAAGAUAGAAUUACACGAAUAGUAACAGGUUUUACCAUAGGGGAAAAUGUUGUAAAAUUAAUUUAGAUUUUAAAAAGAUUUUAUGGUCAUUAAAAUUUGAUGAUAGUUGAAGAUUUCAUGGUAAUUAGAGAUUUUAUGGUAAUAAAGAUUUUAUAAUCAUUAAAUAUUUUAUUUAUGAGAUUUAAAUAUAAUAUUAAAUAUGACUAUUAUAAUUUUAUUUCAUGAAUUUUAUGACCAUAUAUAGCGGUCAGUUUUUCCACGAUAAAAAGCUUUUGUCUUUACAAAAUAGUGACUCCCAAUUUUUCUACUUUAUUCUUUUUUUUCUCUGUAUUUUCUGUUGGGUUAUAAAUCAGAGAUGAAUUAUUGUUGUUCUGAUCCUGAGAAUUAAAUCUCAGAAGAACUUAUUUAAUCCUGGAGAAUUACAAAAUAAAUCUUUAAGGUCAAUGUCCAAUACGACUCAAGUUUUAUUGUUUUACCCUAUUUUUACAACAGAAAAUGUCUCAAAAUAAUCGAUACCCAGAUGUUGAUGAAAGCCUUUUGCGACUAGCCGUGCUUUAUAAUGGUCAAUACUACCAUCGGUCUUUUAUUUAACUCGAAAUAUCCACUUGCACCCAACAACAUUUUGUGCUUUGCAACGCGGAACUAAUUCCCAUAUACCAGUCUGAAUUAAUACAUUUAGUUCAUGUGUCAUUGCAUCUCGCCAAAGUGAGUUUUUAAUAGCCUCAAUGUAACAAGUUGGAAGCAUAAAGGGUGUAAUAGUAGUAUUUUUGGACUGUGGAGACCAAGAGAUAUCUGGUGAUAAAAGUUCAUGAUGUAAAAGAGCAUGUUCUAACUCAACAAUAUAUCUGUGUUUUCUGACUGCACAAUCAUUCUAUUUAGAUGUGUGAGGACAGAAAACACGUUAAGUAAUCCCGUUAUCUUUUAGAUAUUUGAUUAAAGACCAAAAUUCACCCCCAAUUAGAUUGAAAACUUUUAAUUGGAAGGCCAAAAUAUUUUUCAACAAGACUUUGAAAUUGAACAAAGACAUGAAAGACAUCAGGUUUUUGCUUUAGAAAAUACAACCAACAGUAUUUAUUAAAGUGAUCAUAGAAAAUGACGUAAUAUCAAAAACCAUCAAUAAAAGCAACAGGUGAGGGUCCGUAUAUCCAAAUAAAUUAAUUCAAGAGGUUUCUUAGCACGAUAAAAAUGAAUCAGAAAAUGGCAAUUUAUGUGAUUUACUCACAUUACAAACAUGAGAUAAAUCAAAUUGUUUAUUGGAAUCAAAUGAAAUUUUAUUGGAUUUAAGGAGAUGCUUAACAACAUGAAUAUUAGCAUGACCCAAACGUUCAUGCCAUAUCAAUACUGUUGCGGAAAAGCUUGUGGAGCAAAAGACUGAACGGAUUGCACGGGAAACAGGUACAGUGAUGGGCAUUACCUUGCAACAUGUCCGUUACCAUUACAAUUGUAACACUGGAAGCCACAGCCACUGUUGAACCAGAAGGGUAAUUGUUUGGGCUGGAAAUAUAAGAAUUCCCAUAACCACGUCCCUGACCUCCACGACCACGAUUGUUACAGCCACC
RNAcentral lists this long non-coding RNA (15508 nucleotides) under Manihot esculenta (cassava). RNAcentral describes it as "long non-coding RNA (MESC_LNC001375)". Lineage: Eukaryota; Viridiplantae; Streptophyta; Magnoliopsida; Malpighiales; Euphorbiaceae. The record is from RNAcentral.